UUUACCUUCUGAUUUAUUUUCUUCAGUGAUCUUUGCCUCUUCCAUGAUUUUAGUAAUCAUUUAUAAGUGCAGAAUCAUAAAUGUUUAUCUCAACACUGGCAUUUUUUGAGGUCCAUGCUUCAAUGUUCAAUUGCUUACUCUAUAUCACAAUUGGAUAUCCUAAAGCAUCCUAACAGAAUGUGUGAGAAACUGAUUAUACAGCUCAAAAUAAUACUUAGGACUCAGUGGCCUAUUAUGGGGUGGCAUAUUCUGCCACUCUCCACUUUCUUUUCUGAUGUCAUUUGUUAAAUUUACACUGAAAAUUAGCAUGCUUUUAGCCAGUUUUUUUACAUUUUAUGAGAAAAAUGUCUCUCUCAUCAAUUAAUUGUGAGUACAUUUCCCGGGGUCUCCUUUAGUAAUCCGGGCUGCUACUUCAAAGGGAAAAAAAAGCAAUAGAAUUUUGAAGCCUUUGGAUGAGAAAUAGUAAUAUGAGUACCAAAAAAGCUAUUUUUUUACUUAAUAAUAUUAUUUGUUAUUUGAAACUCUAUAUGAAACAUGUAUCGUAUGACCCCUACAUAUAGUGAUAUUUUAUAAAAAGUUACUACAACAAAAUGCCCAAUAAGUUCUUCAAUUAAAUAUUGCUCUAUGCAUACUUAGUUCUAUGGACUGCACCUGAUAUGGAAACACCAAGGUAUAAUUCUAAUUAAGAAAGUAAAGAACAACAAAUAUGUUGGAUAUUAUAACUCUAGCUCAGUAAUUUUUAAAUAAUACUUUUUUCUUUCUAUAUGCAUUCAAAAAUUCCUCUAGUAUUUACAUGUCAAAGGGGGUUGAAAUUAAGUACAAAUAUCUUAAAUUGUUAAACUUUUCCUAAUAUUAAGAGAUUUUAUGGUUGAACAUCAGAGGUUGAUGGAUAUACUUGGCUAUGACAAGAUUAUGUAAGAUUUUUAUAUGCAAAAUACCAAAUGCCAGAUGUUCUUUAUCUCUGUUAGAUGAAAAACAAAUACAAAUGAGGUCAAGUACUCAAUGUGCAUAGUGUGACAUUUAAAAAUAUUUCUAUCACACAUCUUGUUUUCAGUAACAUUUUAAACCUGUCAGUGGAUAAAAUUAAACGGCACUCCCAAACAUGUCAUUAAAUUAAAACCUGAAAAGAGACUACUCAUUUAAUUAUCUGAUCUUAAAUUUCUGACAGUGAAAAGAGGAUUACAUCAAUGUUUAAAAUUCAAGGGGAAAGAAAGGAAAUUAUAUUGGCAGGGCUCUGAAACAUGACUUAAAUUUCAUGAGUUUAGAUGUUUGUAAUAACUAUUCAUCUAUGAUAUAAAUGAGAUAAGCUUAUAUUGACUUGUGCAUUCUCAGGAGAAAAAUUAAAAAUGUGUAUCUUUAAGCAAGUAAAGAACAAAGCCUGUUUUACAUAAUGAUAUACUGGCGACAGCUGCAUGACAGUCUAGAAGAAAUAAGGCUAUGGUAGGCAAUGAUUCAUCAUAAAAAUAACUGUUAUAAAAUCAUUUGCAAACAAAAUCAUUAUAAAACUAACCACAUCUUUCAUUAUCUGCCAAGUUUUUGUAAUUGUUAAAUUAUACUAAUCCGGUGGAUGACAGACUCAUCAAUAAUGGAGAAACUUCAUAAAUUAAACAAGAAAAAAAACUUUGUAGAAAUUACAGUAAAAGUAAAAUUAUUACUGGCUGCCAAGAAUUUAAGAUCUAUUCUUACACAGUAUGAUAGGUACCAUAUGCUGAUUAUUUAUAAUUAUUUGAACAUUACUGAGAAUGCUUGACUUCUUUUACUGGUGAAAACACUUGUUUGUUUUCAGGAUUUCAAAAGUGAACAGUGGAGUGAUAUCCAAUUCAAUAGUAGUUGGAAAAACAGAGAUUUGACCCGAAGUUUCUAGAUUUAAAAACUAUAGAAAUAAUUUUUCAAGUGAGACAUAUUAUCACUAUCUAAUCAUUUCAUUAUGGGCCUCAAAAAUUUUGUUUACUCAACAACUACUUUCAGCUUUUUUAUGCUAGACACUGAUCAAAGCUUAGACAAAACAGUGAAUAAACAGACAAAAUUACUUGCCUUAAAGAGGCUUAUAUUCUAGUAGGAAAAGAGAACAAAAAACAACACAAAAAUAAAAUAAAAUAUAUAAAAGUUGGAUUGUUACAAAUCCUAAUGAAAAAAUAUAUAAGCCAGAGAAAGUUUUGAGUUGGGAUGUGGGCUGCAAUUUUCAUUAGAGUAACCAGAGAAAGAUUCCCUAAGAAAGAGGUUUUGAGCAAAAUCUGAAAGAGUUAAGAUAAUUUCCAGUAAUUUUACCC
RNAcentral lists this long non-coding RNA (2270 nucleotides) under Homo sapiens (human). RNAcentral's name for it is "non-protein coding lnc-ADAM29-4:1". Lineage: Eukaryota; Metazoa; Chordata; Mammalia; Primates; Hominidae. The record is from RNAcentral.